This 484-nucleotide ribosomal RNA is filed under the name uncultured bacterium. Its description in RNAcentral is "partial 16S ribosomal RNA". It matches the Rfam family "Bacterial small subunit ribosomal RNA", at positions 30 to 507 of the family's 1533-position model. The record is from RNAcentral.
AUUGAACGCUGGCGGCAGGCCUAACACAUGCAAGUCGAGCGGAUGAAGGGAGCUUGCUCCUGGAUUCAGCGGCGGACGGGUGAGUAAUGCCUAGGAAUCUGCCUGGUAGUGGGGGAUAACGUCCGGAAACGGGCGCUAAUACCGCAUACGUCCUGAGGGAGAAAGUGGGGGAUCUUCGGACCUCACGCUAUCAGAUGAGCCUAGGUCGGAUUAGCUAGUUGGUGGGGUAAAGGCCUACCAAGGCGACGAUCCGUAACUGGUCUGAGAGGAUGAUCAGUCACACUGGAACUGAGACACGGUCCAGACUCCUACGGGAGGCAGCAGUGGGGAAUCUUGGACAAUGGGCGAAAGCCUGAUCCAGCCAUGCCGCGUGUGUGAAGAAGGUCUUCGGAUUGUAAAGCACUUUAAGUUGGGAGGAAGGGCAGUAAGUUAAUACCUUGCUGUUUUGACGUUACCAAAAGAAUAAGCACCGGCUAACUUCGUG